UUCAGAGGGGAGGAACAUUAUGCAGGGGGGCCAGGAAGAAUGUGAACAAACAGGCUUUGCUAAGUGUCCCCAGUUUAUUACCAUUACAUCAUACUCGGUCUGCUUCAUCACACUUCUCUGCAACUACCUACUUCAUGAAACACAGCACAAAAAUAUACAGGUUUUACUAUUUCUUUGGGUCAUCCUUUAAUUAUGAAAGCUUUGUCACAUAAAACACAUAUUAAAUAAAUUUGUAUGCUUUUCUUUUCUUAAUCUGUCUUCUGUUAGAGGGGGCUUGGCCAUGAGCCUAGGAUGAAUGAGGAAAAGAUAUUUCUCUUCUCGCACAACAGUGAAUGUUGCUUAUUUCUGCAAAGCUAAGGAAUAAUAUAUUUAGUUGUUGCAAUCUAAAGUUUUUUCUCCAAUCACUGGAAGUUGAGUUUCAUAUAACUUAGAUUGUGUUCAUUUUUCCAGAAGAGCUAACGAAAUAGAAAAAUGUUCAGAAAUUAAAAUAAAAAUUAAUGGAAAUUUUCCCUUUAAUUAAUCACAUCAGCAAAUCAGCACUUUACAUCAAAGUAUUACGUAAUGAGAUUCUAAAUCAUGUUCCCAAGAAUUUCUGUGUAAAACAUUUCCAUAUGGUAAGAGUCUGUAAAAUUUUAUAACACAUUCACAAAUCAUUGUGACAAGUAACACUGGUGUUAAUUUCUUAAAAGUCAAUGUCAUUUUCCCAAUAUAAUUUUAUGAUUUUAUUUCCUUGUGCCUUGAAACUUAAAAAAAAAACAAACCACAUGCCUUCUUAGAAAACUAAAAACAGAUACAUAAUCAUUAACAUAAGUAAACAGAUUGUAUAGUUCUCAUGUACUUAAGGUGAAUUUUAAUACAUUUUUAAAUCUAAAGUAAAGCCUAUAUUCUUAGUCUAUGUUAUGACACUCAUAUUAUUUCUCUUAUGGUACUUAACACAGUUUGUGUGCAUUUUGCAUAUUUAUUUGCUCGUUUAAUCUUUCUUUGACUCCCAAACUACAAACAAAGCCAGCUGAUUCAGGAAAACAAAGACUUUCCAAUUAUUUCAAGCAGAAAGGCAUAUAAAAUUACAGAAUUUGAUGAUUAUAAAAAUGUUAAAAGGGUGGGAGGAGAACAAAUGUAAGUUUUCCACCAGCUUUAAGAAGGUCAGGAAAUUUCAGGAACCACAGGAAACUAUUGGCUAUAUUCAUAGUUUCGUGAAUGUCUGAAACCAGUAAUUAUAGAAAUGGCUUGGAUUGCCCAAAAAAUCUCACAUCUGCUAAAGCUCAGACACCUGCCCAUGGAAUAGUAAUCUGGCUUCUGCCUGUCUUCCAAAUUUUGUGAGAAUGCUUUUUAUUGGCAGAUUCUAAUCUGGAACACUUCUGGCAAAGAAUUCUAGAAAAUGCAGUUCUCAAACUCCUAGCUUCCAUGACAGAGGAAGUCAUUAACCAUAAGGACAAAGAGAAUCGGAGGAGACAACAAGAGAUGAGAAGUUUUUAACCAAUAUGAGAUGGAGGGAAAGGGAAGAAGAAUGAUAAGAGAUUGAGCCGAGAAGAGUCAGGACUCAAGCGAGUGUCUGUCAAGGGACACACCAACAGGGAACAACGAGUGCGUCCUGUGGAACCAAUGAAAGUGAUGCUUUCGGAAACACCAGGACAUUAUUCAACUAUGAAGCAAAGUAAAAUCAGAAGCAGCAAAAAUAUUGUGUUCAGCGAUUUCCUUGCCUAUGCAAAUAUUCUUCUAUUUCUGGAAUGAAAUGAGUGAUCUCCAACUUCAUUAAAAGGAAAACAAUCUUUCAGUGAACCAAACCCUAGACCCAUAAAAAAGGCUUUAUAUAUACAUUUUUCAAAUUGCAAGCAAGGCAAGCCCAUGAAGCCCAUAUUUUGGAUUAUGAUAAGACAAGUGAAUGAAUCCAGGGAGAGACACGGAAGUAGGCAUAGAUGGGGUUCAGGACGCCACAUCUCAAAAUAUGUCACCUUGGCAUUUGCAAAAACAGCAGAAGUGGGAAGUUCUCUUUGACCUUCUCCCCUGAAGCAAGCUAAAAAAGAAUUCUAUGUCCUGAAGUGGGUCUAAAGACCUUCAUUCCAGAAGCAUCCUCCCUAUACCCAGAAGAAAGGAACACUCUUAUCCUUGAAGGCACAGAGAUGUCAAGAAGAAUCGGAACAAGCCAACCUGCCAAGCUCUCCUCAGUUUACUGCCAUCAGAUCACAUUCUUUUGUAUUCUAGUCACGCUUCUGCACAACCACCCGCUCUACCUCAAACUUAGCAUAAAAAUACUACACAGGUUUCACUAUUUUUGAGUCUUCAUUUCUGAAGGCUCCCGUGUCAUGUAAAAUUUAUAUUAAAUAAAUCUGUGUGCUUCUCUCUC
Microcebus murinus (gray mouse lemur) is the source of this 2344-nucleotide non-coding RNA. Lineage: Eukaryota; Metazoa; Chordata; Mammalia; Primates; Cheirogaleidae. The record is from RefSeq and is a predicted model, not a curated record.